RNAcentral lists this ribosomal RNA (1062 nucleotides) under Anthracoidea curvulae. RNAcentral's name for it is "LSU rRNA". It matches the Rfam family "Eukaryotic large subunit ribosomal RNA", at positions 79 to 1057 of the family's 3401-position model. The record is from RNAcentral. Lineage: Eukaryota; Fungi; Basidiomycota; Ustilaginomycetes; Ustilaginales; Anthracoideaceae.
CCUAGUAACGGCGAGUGAAGAGGGAAGAGCCCAAGAUUGAAAGCUGGCGUCGUUUGCGGCGUUCCGCAUUGUAAUCUCAAGAAGCGUUAUCCGCGUCGGACCAGGUCCAAGUCUCCUGGAAAGGAGCAUCAUGGAGGGUGAAAAUCCCGUGCGUGACCUGGAGCCACCGAAGCACUGCGAUGCGUUUUUUCUCAGAGUCGAGUUGUUUGGGAAUGCAGCUCAAAAUGGGUGGUAAAUGCCAUCUAAGGCUAAAUACAGGGGAGAGACCGAUAGCGAACAAGUACCGUGAGGGAAAGAUGCAAAGAACUUUGGAAAGAGAGUUAAACAGUACGUGAAAUUGCCAGAAGGGAAGGGUAGGAAGUCAGAGAUGCGGGGGCGCGGUUCAGGCGUGUGUCUUUCGGGAUGCCGGCGAAGACUGCGUGACUCUGCAGGCCAACGUCGGUUCUGUGGCGCGGGAAAGCGGGGUUGGGAAUGUGGCAUCUUCUUCGGGAGGUGUGUUUAUAGACCGGCUCUUGGACUGGACCAGCGACUGGGACCGUGGUUUUGACAGUGUGAUGCGGCAGGGGAGCAAUCUGCGGCCGUGUUAGGUCUUCGGGCACUAUUCACACUGAGGGCGUUGGCUUAAUGGCCGUCUACCACCCGUCUUGAAACACGGACCAAGGAGUCUAACAGGUAUGCGAGUCUUUGGGUGUCGAAACCCGGAAGGCGGAAUGAAAGUAAACAGAGGUGGGAAUCCGCAAGGAGGCACCAUCGACCGCUCUCAGCCAACCUGGCUUCGGCCUGGGGGCGAGAUGUGAGUAAGAGCAUGGCUGUUGGGACCCGAAAGAUGGUGAACUAUGCCUGGGUAGGGUGAAGCCAGAGGAAACUCUGGUGGAGGCUCGUAGCGGUUCUGACGUGCAAAUCGAUCGUCGAACCUGGGUAUAGGGGCGAAAGACUAAUCGAACCAUCUAGUAGCUGGUUCCUGCCGAAGUUUCCCUCAGGAUAGCAGAGACUCGCGUUUCAGUUUUAUGCGGUAAAGCGAAUGAUUAGAGGCCUUGGGGGAGUAAUUUCCUCAACCUAUUC